RNAcentral lists this ribosomal RNA (449 nucleotides) under uncultured bacterium. RNAcentral's name for it is "partial 16S ribosomal RNA". It matches the Rfam family "Bacterial small subunit ribosomal RNA", at positions 354 to 796 of the family's 1533-position model. The record is from RNAcentral.
GUGGGGGAUAUUGGACAAUGGGCGAAAGCCUGAUCCAGCCAUGCCGCGUGUGUAAGAAGGUCUUCCGAUUGUAAAGCACUUUAAGUUGGGAGGAAGGGCAGUAAGUUAAUACCUUUCUGUUUUGACGUUACCGACAGAAUAAGCACCGGCUAACUUCGUUCCAGCAGCCGCGGUAAUAAGAAGGGGGCAAGCGUUAAUCGGAAUUACUGGGCGUAAAGCGCGCGUAGGUGGUUUUGUAAGUUGGAGGUGAAAUCCCCGGGCUCAACCUGGGAACUGCCUCCAAAACUGCAUGACUAGAGUACGGUAGAGGGUAGUGGAAUUUCCUGUGUAGCGGUGAAAUGCGUAGAUAUAGGAAGGAACACCAGUGGCGAAGGCGACUACCUGGACUGAUACUGACACUGAGGUGCGAAAGCGUGGGGAGCAAACAGGAUUAGAAACCCUGGUAGUCC